AGGCCGUGAUGGGGACACUUGCGUAAUAGCUCCUUGAACCUUUCCCAAGUUUCAUAUAAGUAUUCCCCUUCCUCUUGUGAGUAUGUAUUAAUUUCAGCCAUUAAUUU
This 107-nucleotide small nucleolar RNA is filed under the name Helianthus annuus (common sunflower). RNAcentral's name for it is "Plant small nucleolar RNA R71". It matches the Rfam family "Plant small nucleolar RNA R71". Rfam says of the family: R71 is a member of the C/D box family of snoRNAs containing the C (UGAUGA) and D (CUGA) box motifs. Multiple nearly identical copies of this snoRNA have been identified in Arabidopsis, and it is thought to function as a 2'-O-ribose methylation guide for 18S ribosomal RNA. Lineage: Eukaryota; Viridiplantae; Streptophyta; Magnoliopsida; Asterales; Asteraceae. The record is from RNAcentral.